GACGUAGGAGGCGAGCGUUAUCCGGAUUCACUGGGCGUAAAGCGCAAGUAGGCGGUUGUGAAAGUCCGUUGUUAAAGCCCCUGGCUCAACUGGGGGAGGUCAAUGGAGACUUUAUGACUUGAGGGCAACAGAGGCAUGUGGAACUCCUGGUGUAGCGGUGGAAUGCGCAGAUAUCAGGAGGAACACCGGUGGCGAAGGCGGGUCUCUGGGCAGUAACUGACGCUGAGGAGCGAAAGCGUGGGGAGCGAACAGG
Molecule: ribosomal RNA, 253 nt
Filed under: uncultured bacterium
Lineage: Bacteria
Description: partial 16S ribosomal RNA
Rfam family: Bacterial small subunit ribosomal RNA
Source: RNAcentral